RNAcentral lists this ribosomal RNA (253 nucleotides) under uncultured bacterium. Its description in RNAcentral is "partial 16S ribosomal RNA". It matches the Rfam family "Bacterial small subunit ribosomal RNA", at positions 524 to 776 of the family's 1533-position model. The record is from RNAcentral.
UACGAGUGCCUCAAGCGUUAUCCGGAAUCAUUGGGCGUAAAGGAUGUGUAGGUGGUUGUGUUAGUCUUCUGUUAAAUUCUUCGGCUUAACCGGGGGCAUGCAGGGGAAACGGCACGACUAGAGGAUGCGAGGGGUCUGCGGAACUCAUAGUGUAGCGGUGAAAUGCGUUGAUAUUAUGGGGAACACCAAAAGCGAAGGCAGCAGACUGGAGCACUCCUGACACUGAAACAUGAAAGCGUGGGUCGCGAAUGGG